This 468-nucleotide ribosomal RNA is filed under the name uncultured bacterium. RNAcentral's name for it is "partial 16S ribosomal RNA". It matches the Rfam family "Bacterial small subunit ribosomal RNA", at positions 28 to 507 of the family's 1533-position model. The record is from RNAcentral.
GACGAACGCUGGCGGCGUGCUUAACACAUGCAAGUCGAACGGAAAGGCCCUGCUCUUGUUGGGUGCUCGAGUGGCGAACGGGUGAGUAAAACAUGAGUAACCUGCCCUUGACUUUGGGAUAACUUCAGGAAACUGGGGCGAAUACCGGAUAGGAGCUCCUGCUGCAUGGUGGUGGUUGGAAAGUGUCGGCGGUUGGGGAUGGACUCGCGGCUUAUCAGCUUGUUGGUGAGGUAGUGGCUUACCAAGGCUUUGACGGGUAGCCGGCCUGAGAGGGUGACCGGCCACAUUGGGACUGAGAUACGGCCCAGACUCCUACGGGAGGCAGCAGUGGGGAAUAUUGCACAAUGGGCGGAAGCCUGAUGCAGCAACGCCGCGUGCGGGAUGACGGCCUUCGGGUUGUAAACCGCUUUCGCCUGUGACGAAGCGUGAGUGACGGUAAUGGGUAAAGAAGCACCGGCUAACUACGUG